This 498-nucleotide ribosomal RNA is filed under the name Candidozyma auris. RNAcentral's name for it is "eukaryotic LSU rRNA". It matches the Rfam family "Eukaryotic large subunit ribosomal RNA", at positions 86 to 655 of the family's 3401-position model. Lineage: Eukaryota; Fungi; Ascomycota; Pichiomycetes; Serinales; Metschnikowiaceae. The record is from RNAcentral.
ACGGCGAGUGAGCGGCAGAGCUCAACUUUGGAAUCGCUCCGGCGAGUUGUAGUCUGGAGGUGGCCACCACGAGGUGUUCUAGCAGCAGGCAAGUCCUUUGGAACAAGGCGCCAGCGAGGGUGACAGCCCCGUACCUGCUUUUGCUAGUGCUUCCUGUGGCCCACCGACGAGUCGAGUUGUUUGGGAAUGCAGCUCUAAGUGGGUGGUAAAUUCCAUCUAAGGCUAAAUAUUGGCGAGAGACCGAUAGCGAACAAGUACAGUGAUGGAAAGAUGAAAAGCACUUUGAAAAGAGAGUGAAACAGUACGUGAAAUUGUUGAAAGGGAAGGGCUUGCACCCAGACACGGUUUCGGCCGGGCCAGCAUCAAGUAGAACGGGGUUAAAAGACUUGGGGAAUGUAGCUACUUCGGUAGUGUUAUAGCCCUUGGUGAUGACCCCUGUUUUGCUUGAGGACAGCGGUCUCUAGGAUGCUGGCGCAAUGAUUGCAAGCCACCCGUCUU